CGAUAAACAUUACAUAUGAGCACAACCAUUGAGAUUAAAAAUAUCCAAACAUCAAUCAGAAAAUCUAAAAUUUUUAAGGAAAAAUUAGAGAAACAACAAAAACAUAAUACUUGUAAACAAAUUAAACUGCAACGAAACAAAUUGUUCAUUGUUGAAGUGUUAAGAGUUUAUUGUUUAUUGUUUAUUAGAGAAACAACAGUUGCAGUGUUAAGAGUUUAUUGUUGAUUUCCUUUCAGAAGUUGCCUUAAUUGAGGCCUGUAGCACAUGACAUGGAUCUGUCCAUGUUGCAAAAGACCUGAGAAGAGAAACAAGCAAAGUUUUCUUCUGAAUUAUGUUAUGCCUCAGGUUUGGGUUUCAUGGCGUUCCCAUACUGCGAUGAUGUUGGUUCUCUAUUCUCUUUUCAAACAAUGGUUCAUUAUUGAGGUGUUGCUCGGGUGAAGAUUGGAUAUCAGUGUGCUGGUGCAGCUGUCUCUUCUCUCUUUUGUUCCCUGUGGCUUUCAUAGUUGGUUGCUCUAGCACUGUUGGUCAAGUCUCAAGGGGUGUAACUCGGGCAGUUUAGUCGGGUUGAGAGGUUAUCCAAGCACAGCCCAAGUUAUGCUGAGACUUACCCAGGCCCGCCCAAGCCCGAAUUGUAACCCGAGGUUGCAUAUCCAAGCCCGACCUGAGUUAAACCCGAAUUGCCCAAGUUGCCCAAUUUGUAAAUGAAUUUCAGUAUUUUUUUUUCCAGCUUC
Molecule: long non-coding RNA, 731 nt
Organism: Camellia sinensis
Lineage: Eukaryota; Viridiplantae; Streptophyta; Magnoliopsida; Ericales; Theaceae
Source: RefSeq, a predicted model, not a curated record